ACACAAUGGUCAACAUCAAGAAAAUAUCAUUUUACAUAUUUGUUGCUUUGUAAAUACAAUCUUGUUUUCAAAUUACAAAACUAUUUUAGACGCGUAAUUAUCUUUUUAAAAUAAAACAAUUUCUACUGCCCUUACUGCAAUGGAAAAAUUAAAGGGAGGGCCUGGCUCAUCAGUGGUGAACCCUCCCAGCGGUUUCGCCAGUUUAAUCUACCAUACCGCUGUUAUAUUGCAUUUUUGGAACUUCCUUUUAUAGUGAUACUGAUGCUUGACUUUUUGAAUGGGUAUUUUAGAUGAACUAUGGACAUAAGCUUUUAGGACAGCAGAAUUAUUAAACUGGCGAAACCGCUGGGAGGGUUCACCACUGAUGAGCCAGGCCCUCCCUUUAAUUAAUUUUUCCAUUGCAGUAAGGGCAGUAGAAAUUGUAUUAUUUUAAAAAGAAUAUUAUGCGUCUAAAAUAGUUUUGUAAUUUGAUAACAGAUGGCGCGCUAGUGCAUCGAAACAAACUUGUUUCUCAGAGGUUUCUGUGUUGUGUUGAUGUAACUCCUCCAACUUUGCUACUUAUUGCUCUGUGGUUUCAAUAUUAAAUACAUGCUAAAAGGUAUAACUUCCUUAAGUUUUGAUAAUGCACAAUUUGGAUUAUAGAUUAUAAACACAAGGUAAUAAGACCAAAUCCAAAUAGUGUGUGAUGUUUCUGUAACAACGCGGUUACCGAAACCUCACACACUAUUUAUUUGGAUUUGGUCCUAUUACCUUGUGUUCCUUAAGUUUUGUCCAUGUGAGUGUAUAUUAUAAAAAAUAUAUCAAUUUGCGUUAAAAAUGUGGUAAGGUAUAAUUUUUUUGGUUUAAAGGUAAAGACAUCACAAAGUAAUCCAAAUAGGUGAAAAAUACCUGAUGGAAAAGUGACUGCAUUGGUUUUAGCUCUUAUAUCAAACUUACUGAUUUGGUUUUUCUACCUUGUGAUGUUAAUUUGUUCAAAGUUGAUUUAUUGAUAAGGCACAAUUUGGAUUAUAGAUUACUAGCGAACCCGGCCACGCGUUGCUGUGGCUAAGUUGUAAUAUGUUAAAUUAAUAUUAUACUAAACUAUUCAGUACAGUAAAGUUAAUAUUCACUUAUAAAGAUAAAAAUGUUUUAGCCGAUCUAAAGCCCUACGGGAUUGAGAAUGGACGUUACGUUAAAAUUUGAAAGUGAUUUUUAUAUAUAUAGAUAAUAUAGCCCUUUAUUGUACUUAUUGAUUAUAAUCACUGCAUUAAUAAAUGUCAGUGAACCUGUUUUUUUAUUUUUGAAUUAAAUGAUCUAGCCGAACCCGGGCAGACGUUGCCCUGCCUCUACGCACCUCUAUAUAUAUAAAAAUGGAUGCCUGUAUGUGUUUGUAAUCAAGAAUCUAGCAUGUGCUGGGGAAAAAUUAAAGAUGAGUCAUAAAGAAUUGAUGAAAAAAUAUAUAGAUUUUAUUAAUAGCAAUAUUUGAAUGAAUAUCAUAUUGUAUCAUAUGAAAACUAAUCUAUCGUAACGCGAGUGGAUACACAAUAUUUUUGGUCCUCUCGUUUGGUGCGUAGAUAUAUAGAUAUUUUGGCGUUCCAACCCGGGAGCAAGCGACGUAGAGUUGACCAUGUGAAAAACAUGGAUUUCCUAAAUGCAAACCGUCAACUCGCAGCGACUGUCCUUGGGAUUUGUUGAUUGUCAUUGCGAAAGCGAGACGCACGGGAAACUGAAGUCGCUUGAAUGUGAAGGGCAAAUCAGUGGGGAUCAUUGGAAUGCGCAGAAUGAGCACAUCCUCUCCUUUACAUUUGCCACUGAUUAUCGUCGUUUCAAUCACAUUCGGCAUCAACCUUUUUACGGAAAGUCUGGUUCCGUUGCACAACUUGGGUGUGUUGAGAUUCCGAAGAAGCAAUAUUGGCGAGCCAACUUUCAACGACAAUACAUGCGGUGGCAUUCCAGGAGGCUCCAAUGAAUUGAGAAAUUCGACUGGAUAAUUGACAGCUUGGUCCUCUUCUGUGACUGUGUCAAUAGAUUUGUAUUGCGUGACCGCUCCAGGAAUUUUCAAUUGAAUCUUAUGAUUGAUGCGAUUGACGUCAUUAUUCUUCGGAGCUAAGAUAGCUCGCUCGCAAAGCCAGUCGUGAUUCUUGAAAUUAGUGGCAAUAUCCGGGAAAACUACCUUUUCAAGAUCUCCAAUUGACGCCUGAAGUUGACAGAAGUUCGGUGGGAACGAUAUCUCGUGUGUUGCAGGAUCAACCGGAAUUUUUUGCCGUCGCCCAUAUUCAAAAGCUGCUUGGCAAAUGUUUGUGCAGAAACAUCUCCAUGUAAAUGCACACGCAUAUUGGUCGACAGUGUAAUUUUCUUCACAUGUCUCCAGAGAGCCGAUUUCUUCAAGCAUGUGUUCAGCUCAUCUGCUGGUGUUGCUCUUGGAAUGACAGGCAAGAUUUGACGGAAAUCACCAGCGAGCAGUAUCAGAGCUCCACCCAUUAGGGGUUGAUUGCCUCGGAAAUCGCGAAGAGUACGAUCAAGUGCCUCAAGCGCUUUCUUGUGAGCCAUCGUACAUUCAUCCCAAAUGAUGAUUUGGCACGUUUUCAACACAGUGGCCAUUCCUGAUGUUUUUCCGAUGUUGCAGAGAGGAACGUCGGCUAUAUUCAAAUUCAAUGGCAGCUUGAAUGCCGAAUGCGCCGUACGUCCUCCAUCGAGCAGUGUUGCCGCAAUUCCCGACGAUGCCACAGCCAGAGCAAUCUCAUGUUUCAUACGAAUUUCGGCGAGUAUCAAAUUGAGCAAAAAUGUUUUCCCAGUUCCUCCUGGGGCAUCAAGGAACAGAAGACCACCAUUUCCGGUUCGCACAUGCUCCGUGACUGUGUUGUACGCAAGGUUUUAUUCGUUUGUUAAGAGUCUUUUCUGAGUCUCAACAUAAACUUGCAGCGUAUCAGCGUCGUAUUGCAUUUCUCGCAACAUAUCUCUGUCGACAGCAUCAUUUCUGCCACGCUCGGGUGAGAUCAAGCCAAGCUGAUUGAGGAUUUUGUUGUUGAUCGACAAACAUAUAUCCUCAAGUGAUAUCAGCGCUUGAUUAAAAAUUUCAUCCGAAUUCUGGGCAUUGGGGUUAGCACUACGUACACGGCGAAGUAUGUCUUCGCUCAUACUCUCUUUAUGCUUCUCCCAUAGGCCUUUUGGGUCUGAAGGCGAGCAGGUUGUCAAAAUGAUAGCAAACAGAGUUCGUAUUUGCUUAGGAUGACAUGUUUCAGAUGCUUCUGCCAGUGUGUUGUCCCAAUGCUGAUCAUUUUCAAGCAGACCAAGCUUGAAGCAUGCCUCUCUAUAUGUCUGACAGAUUUGGCCGUUGACGGUUUUGAUAGCUUCGAACGAUUGCGGGCCUUUGACUACAUGAAGCAGCAUUCGCAAAUAGUAGCAUUCAGCAUUGCUUGGAUGGACAGUAUACACUCGCCCCAAUGCGCCAGUGGAAAACACCUGAACCAUUGAAGAGUGCAGCAUGCCUUGUUUUCUCCGUUGCCACUUCUUCGUUGACUGAUUCCAUGUGUAAUACGUCGGAACCUCAUGAUACAGCAAUGUUGCAGCGAAUGUGUCACUGGCACACAAUUGAAAAAAUGCAGUCAACGUUGUAUUGGGUGGAUUUUCAGCUCGCUGGGCCGCGCUCUCUUCUGUGAAGUAUACUCGUUGACCAUUUUCCAAAUGCACACUGAGAUGGACGACAGCAGGAGAGCGUUCGUGGAUGUCAAAGCCAAGGAUUCGCCAUACAGCUUCAUUGCUGCUGAUAUAACGUCCCAUUUGAAACUGGUCGAUUUCAUUGACGGGUGCAUUUGGAUUUUGAAGUCCAAAAACUGCCAUAUCACUGCCCUUAUUCACGUAUUUACAAAUGUAUUUGAUCGAUUUGACAGAAUUGCAAUACUCCACGUUGAUAUGCGCAUCAAAUGCUUUCGAGAGCAAAGGAGAGUAAGGCACAAUCCACCGGUUAUCAACCUCAAAACCAACGUGAUUGAGUUUGAUUGUUGCUGUGUGGCCACCAUCCUCUGGUUUUCGUCGUCUGUACAGAGGAUAACCGUCGCCACCAGUUUGUGUGUCAUGCACCAGGUCUCUUGGAUACUUUUUGGUGCAUUUGCCGUCCUUUAUGCACGGUGAAUGUGGGUUUUGCGCUCCACACGGUCCGUGAAUCAUAUAUUUCUUGAUAAUCUGGUACAAUUCAGGAUCUUCUUGUGGAUCAGGCAGCUCAGCAGAAAUGAUAUUAUCGAUUUGAGUUGGAAGAAUUUUUUCCUCCAACCAAAUCAAGAUGUGAGCAUGUGGAGUGCCUCUUUUUUGCCAUUCGAUGGAAUACAUCCAGCAGCGUGUUGGACCGUAUAUAUGGUUCUUAACGAUGAGAUCAAUAAAACAUUUCAAUUUCUGUUUGAAAACUCUCGCUGUGAGGUCAUGCCGAUGAGAUGACUGUUGGCCAGGCAGAAGUAGAUUUUUGAUUUCGGCCCAUGCUGGAUUGCAAGUGAAUGUGAGGAAAAGAUCUGGACGUCCAUAUGUGCGAACAUAAGUCAUAGCAUCCUGAGCAUAUUCAUGCAUAUGUCUCGGACUUCCAGCGUACGAAGCUGGAAGUAUGACCAUUUGCCCAAUGUUCGCAGCAGCAGCGGCUCCAUCAUUCGCGAUUGCAUCCCGCAAAUGAAUGUAUUGGUCAGCUCGAAGCUUUGACUGAUUGAAGCGAAUGUAGUUGAGACGUUCGCUUUCGACUUUGGCAUACAUGUCAACGAUGAAUUGUUGGAAAAGUUGACGACACUUCAGGAUGUGGUUGGAUUCUUGGGCUCGAAUCAUGAUGCGAUAUGCAUAGAAGUCCAUACAGCUGACUUUUUUCAUUGUCACGGCGCCUGAGAUAGGAUGAACUUGAUACAGUUCGAGAUGAUAUCCGUCUUCACCGCGCGGAAAAAGUAUUGGAUAUUGAAGGGCGUCGUACGAUCGGUGCGUUUCAGCAACACGUUGCUUGGUUCCAUCUCGUCUGCAGAUAACAAUAUCUCGUCGGGCGAUCUCUGUACCGACAAUCACAGCUGCUACUUCAGGAGUCAUCGGAGCAUUGAAGCGUCGUUCAUGCUCAUUCGUCGGCGUCUUGUCUGCCCUGAUGAUGACUUUCAUAUCAUCCGCUCGCACAUUCUAUACUGCGGAUUUGAAGUCUCGGACCAAACAGUUGUGCUCGUGGAAUAGCGUUUGUAAUUCAGCGAUGAUUGCCCGCCUUGUUGCUUCACUGAAUGCGCAUCGUCGAUCAAUCUCCUCCUCCACGUUGUCCAUGAAAUAAAUCUGCAAAAACCUCGGAUCUUCAUUGGGUACUGGAAGAAGUGAACCAAUCUGAUGGUACACUUGCCCUUGCACUUUGAAUGUGGGCUCGAAAUUUCCAAAACGCUCAAUAUGCGUCGCUCCAAACGAUGUCAUUUGGAAGCAUGAGUUGUACUUCCGAAUAUGCUGAAGGAAAUGUUUCGACUCCCGAGUUGCUCCAGCUACGUAUGUUAGAAGUGGCUGUGGCGGCUCAACCAUCGGAGGCAAAUUGACUUUCCCAUUGGAGCAACACAUCCCGGGUGUUUCCUUCUGAAACUUCAAUGCAUGACAGUGUAGACACAAUUUAUCCAUUGGACCAAUGACCAAAUCUUGAUGCAUUUUGUAAUCGUAUUGUUUAUCGUAGUUGAACGCACCUUUUUUAAGAGCGAUCCUCGUUCGUGAUCGAGCCUGGCGUGAGCGUUGUGCCUCAUGUCGUGCAUCUCGCUCUUCGGGUGUUGCAGCAGCCCUUGAAGUAGACGCUCUGAUUCGUUCGAUUUCCCGUCGUGUGUCUCGCUGUUCGGGUGUUGCAGCAGCUCUUGAAGUAGACGCUCUGACUCGAUCAAUUUCCCGUCGUGUGUCUCGCUGUUCGGGUGUUGCAGCAGCUCUUGAAGUAGACGCUCUGACUCGAUCAAUUUCCCGUCGUGUGUCUCGCUCUUCGGGUGUUGCAGCAGCUCUACUGGCUGACACUUGCCGCGCAUUUCUGGUUGAUCUUCCAAUGUUGUUCUUUUUUCGUGGCAUUUCAAAAACGUCUUACAAUUCAACGUUUGGUGACAAAUGAGUCGUCCGAAGAUAGAAGGCAAUGACCUACAACGAAACAAAAAUACAUAUUUUUACUAUUCUAUUCACAUCUAGUGUAAGGGCGAGUAGAUUAACAAUAUUUUCGGUUUGGUAAUUUGGUAUUUUAAUGUAAAGAGGUCAAGAGGUGAACACAAUUCCAAUGUAAAUGAUAUUAAAUUUCAAACGCACUCAGAAAUUAGUAAUCGCUAUUUGUUAAUUUAAUAAUUCUGUAGGGAGAGAAACGCAAAAAAGCCGAAAAUAACAGUUCAGAGUGAUUCUUUGAAAGGCCAGUAAAGGUUUCAAAUGUUUACUUUUAUUCUUGGUAGCAGGUUAAUCACAUGUAUGACAAUUAGGACCUACUGUAACAUAACACGGCAAUAAAAGCCUACAUUUUGAAUAAAAUAAUAUUUAUAUAAUCUAGCCCUUUAUUGUAAAUAUUGAUUAUUGAUUAUAAUCACUGCAUUAAUAAAUGUCAGUGAACUUGUUUAUAUGUAUUGUUUUUUUGUUUUUGAGAUAUUCUAAUAGAACGUUCUCACAAUUUUUGUAAAAUAUUUAUAUAUGCACAAACACAGAAUUUAAAAAUAUGUCUUAAUAUUUGCUAUAAUUAUUGUUAUAAAUAUUAUUUUAAAAUAAUUCGCCAGAAAUCGUCCCGGUAGUAUACUAAACAACUUCCCAAAGUUUCAUGGCAAACAUCUAAAAUAAAAUAAUACUUUUAAUACUUUGCUACAAUAUUAAAAAGAGGGGUGCUUAGGUGUUUAAAAUGUAAAAUGUGCUCUAAAUAGUAUUACAUAGAGCCUUCAUAACAAACAUAUUUAAAAUAAACCAAUUAAAAUAUAAUAAUGCUGUAAAAAAAAGACUUUGCUACAAUAAUAUAAAAGAAAUGAAAAUAAAAAAAAGACACCCACGCUGAGCCUCGAACCUAGGUUUGUUAUAAAUAUUAUUUAAAAAUUGUUUAUGUUAAUUUUUAUUUUAAAAAGCCUACAUUUUAAAUAAAAUAAUAUUUUUAAUAAUUUGCUACAAUAAUAUAAAAGAAAUGAAAAAAAAAAAACACCCACGCUGAGUCUCGAACCUAGGUUGUGGGGGUACGAAGCUGUGUACCUAACCUAUAGGCUAAGCUUGACGUUACAAAUAUGCUCAUGCGAGGCUAUUUCAGGCCAUACGCCUGCCGCGAGGGGGCGCUGAUUGCGAGUGAAUUUACGUUUUAUUGUAAAUAAAAAUGCAACGAAAGGUUAUUUCUAAAGAGUAAUUAGCCAGAAACCAUCCCGGUAGUAUACUAAACAACUUCCCAAAGUUUCAUCACGAUCGGUAGAGCGAUGUAGAAGAUUAUCACUUACGAACGGACCAACAAACAUUCAUUUUUAUAUAUAUAGAUAAACACAAGGUAAUAAGACCAAAUCCAAAUGAAUAAAUAGUAUGUGAUGUUUAGGUAACAGCUUUGUUACCAUCUUCAGAAUUUGAUUCAGUACUUGUGUCUGAAGAUGGUAACAACACUAUUACCGAAACAUCACACACUAUUUAUUUAUUUGGUGUUAUUACCUUGUGUUGAUUUAUUGUUCACAUAUAUGAUUUUCAAAAUACAAUGGUUGGCCUUGAGGAAGCAGAAUGGUUACUCUUGUUCAUGAACUUAUCAUUAUCAUCUUGCAAUUGAAAGCUAUCAAAUAGUCUCAUCCCCAAAUAUCAUUCACUAUAGUACAGUAGGAGUACUUGCUAGGGAACAUCUCUUUACAAAGAACAGUUGCCAUCACCCAAAUCUAGUUGCAGGGCCAUAGAGUGUCUUUUAGUGAGAAGUGUCCUCUUACUAGAGAUCAGCUAAUAGUAAAAAAUGAUCAAUUUUGGUGAUGAAAUUGGUCCUUUGUAGAGAGGUGUCCUCUCAUGGAGGUAGUUCUAAUGUAUUAUUAGAAUCAGUUAUUAUAUUAAAUAAUGGUGGUUAAUAUAUUUUUCAUGUUAGCUUCAGUGUUUACCUUGUGCUAACCUAUCAGAAAUAAUUUUUGUCUACACUCAGGUAUGGGGCAGAAAUAAAGAAGAUCUAUUUCUAUAGCUCUCUCAACAAUAAUGUGAAAAGGCCAAAUCCAAAUAAAUAAACAAUGUGUUACAUCUAGGUAACCAUGUGUUUCCAUCAUCUUCUUCUUUCUUAUCUCCACUCAAUCAUAUUAGGGUGUCAAGCUUGUAAAGCUUGAGACUUUUGAUGGUGUCUGCCGGGGAAGUGUAGAGCUCAUCAAUGGAUGAAUCAAUACAGUCAAUUAUUUCCAUCAUGACUGGGUGAAGUAGAAUGUGUCUGCCUUUGCCUUUUUUUCUAAUCCAUUAGUUGAAUGCUUAAACCACAACUCACACAGACCUCCUAGUAUAUUGAUGACUUGCUGUUGUAGAUAUCUUGUUGUUUAGGUCACAGUACUGUGCUCCGGGGAUGUCUCACAAGCCAGACAUUUUGUGCAGUUUAGGAAGUGUUUGGUUUUGCCUUUGUCAUUAAGACUGGGAGCACUACUCAGUAGCAGACCGAAUUAGCUCCAAUAUGAAAUGGCUGCCUCAGGCAUGAGGAACAGAUGCCAUGUGCAACCGCUCCUAACAUGGAGUACAGACGCUGCUCAUCCUAGGUCAGCUGAGUCCAGGACUUUUAGCG
Molecule: non-coding RNA, 8668 nt
Organism: Cordylochernes scorpioides
Lineage: Eukaryota; Metazoa; Arthropoda; Arachnida; Pseudoscorpiones; Chernetidae
Source: the annotation of a GenBank genome assembly